AUGGUGGAUGAAGCAGCAGUACAUCAGGUGUCCCCGUUGUUGGCGCCAAUGUCCGAGGAGGAAGCUCGGCGCUGCUUCUUUGAUUUCAUGACCAAGGUUACGCAAUAUGAGGAGCUAGUUGAUGCCGGAAAAAUGUUUCUUGUAAAGUUCCGUCAGGAAUUAGAGCAUUUUCGAAGACCAAUGAUUCCCAUGGAAUCGGAUGCUGUCAGUCAGUUAGUCAAAUCUAACUACACUGAUCGACUGAGGUCCUAUCUUGAAGCAGGCUGCCACCUUCAGCACCAAAGUAUCCGGAAUAUUAACCAGUUACAAUCUUGCGAGGAAAAACUUGAGGACCAUAUAAAUAAAGUAAAACAGCUGCGACGGUCGAAUUUAUUCAGAGCUAAAGUUUUGAUUGAAGAACUUGAAUGCCUGGCCGAGGAUGUUUAUAGCACUACGCUAACAGCCAGCCUUAGUAUCUUAGAAGCUUCAGAUUGCUUUGAUGAUGAUGAUAACCUGCCAGCAGAUUCUUGUGAGGAUGAAGGGCAGUCUGUGGAUCCGCUGGACAGCGCAGUAUCUUACUCGAGCGUUAUGAUUCUGGUUCACAAUAUGUUAAAGUUGGAUUAUUCGAUGCAGGAGAAGAUAGUCAAGGCACUGUGCCUUAAAACACCAUCGUCGGAGCUAGAUGGCUAUUGUCUAAUGUGGGACUUGCGGCCGUACAUUGAUGACAAUGUGAUGCAGCUUGCCUGGAAAUUCAUUUCGUAG
RNAcentral lists this ribosomal RNA (741 nucleotides) under Triticum aestivum (bread wheat). RNAcentral's name for it is "partial small subunit ribosomal RNA". The record is from RNAcentral. Lineage: Eukaryota; Viridiplantae; Streptophyta; Magnoliopsida; Poales; Poaceae.